AUUGAACGCUGGCGGCAGGCUGAAGAAAUGCAAGACGAGCGAGCGGCGGACGGGUGAGUAAUGUCUGGGAAACUGCCUGAUGGAGGGGGAUAACUACUGGAAACGGUAGCUAAUACCGCAUACCAUCAGAUGUGCCCAGAUGGGAUUAGCUAGUAGGUGGGGUAAUGGCUCACAUAGGCGACGAUCCCUAGCUGGUCUGAGAGGAUGACCAGCAACACUGGAACUGAGACACGGUCCAGACUCCUACGGGAGGCAGCAGUGGGGAAGAUUGCACAAUGGGCGCAAGCCUGAUGCAGCCAUGCCGCGUGUGUGAAGAAGGCCUUCGGGUUGUAAAGCACUUUCAGCGAGGAGGCGUUACUCGCAGAAGAAGCACCGGCUACCUCCGUUCCAGCAGCCGCGGUAAUAC
This 406-nucleotide ribosomal RNA is filed under the name uncultured bacterium. RNAcentral's name for it is "partial 16S ribosomal RNA". It matches the Rfam family "Bacterial small subunit ribosomal RNA", at positions 30 to 526 of the family's 1533-position model. The record is from RNAcentral.